This 1424-nucleotide ribosomal RNA is filed under the name Bacillus pumilus. RNAcentral describes it as "bacterial SSU rRNA". It matches the Rfam family "Bacterial small subunit ribosomal RNA". Lineage: Bacteria; Bacillati; Bacillota; Bacilli; Caryophanales; Bacillaceae. The record is from RNAcentral.
CUAUACAUGCAGUCGAGCGAACAGAAGGGAGCUUGCUCCCGGAUGUUAGCGGCGGACGGGUGAGUAACACGUGGGUAACCUGCCUGUAAGACUGGGAUAACUCCGGGAAACCGGAGCUAAUACCGGAUAGUUCCUUGAACCGCAUGGUUCAAGGAUGAAAGACGGUUUCGGCUGUCACUUACAGAUGGACCCGCGGCGCAUUAGCUAGUUGGUGGGGUAAUGGCUCACCAAGGCGACGAUGCGUAGCCGACCUGAGAGGGUGAUCGGCCACACUGGGACUAGACACGGCCCAGACUCCUACGGGAGGCAGCAGUAGGGAAUCUUCCGCAAUGGACGAAAGUCUGACGGAGCAACGCCGCGUGAGUGAUGAAGGUUUUCGGAUCGUAAAGCUCUGUUGUUAGGGAAGAACAAGUGCGAGAGUAACUGCUCGCACCUUGACGGUACCUAACCAGAAAGCCACGGCUAACUACGUGCCAGCAGCCGCGGUAAUACGUAGGUGGCAAGCGUUGUCCGGAAUUAUUGGGCGUAAAGGGCUCGCAGGCGGUUUCUUAAGUCUGAUGUGAAAGCCCCCGGCUCAACCGGGGAGGGUCAUUGGAAACUGGGAAACUUGAGUGCAGAAGAGGAGAGUGGAAUUCCACGUGUAGCGGUGAAAUGCGUAGAGAUGUGGAGGAACACCAGUGGCGAAGGCGACUCUCUGGUCUGUAACUGACGCUGAGGAGCGAAAGCGUGGGGAGCGAACAGGAUUAGAUACCCUGGUAGUCCACGCCGUAAACGAUGAGUGCUAAGUGUUAGGGGGUUUCCGCCCCUUAGUGCUGCAGCUAACGCAUUAAGCACUCCGCCUGGGGAGUACGGUCGCAAGACUGAAACUCAAAGGAAUUGACGGGGGCCCGCACAAGCGGUGGAGCAUGUGGUUUAAUUCGAAGCAACGCGAAGAACCUUACCAGGUCUUGACAUCCUCUGACAACCCUAGAGAUAGGGCUUUCCCUUCGGGGACAGAGUGACAGGUGGUGCAUGGUUGUCGUCACGUGUCGUGAGAUGUUGGGUUAAGUCCCGCAACGAGCGCAACCCUUGAUCUUAGUUGCCAGCAUUUAGUUGGGCACUCUAAGGUGACUGCCGGUGACAAACCGGAGGAAGGUGGGGAUGACGUCAAAUCAUCAUGCCCCUUAUGACCUGGGCUACACACGUGCUACAAUGGACAGAACAAAGGGCUGCGAGACCGCAAGGUUUAGCCAAUCCCAUAAAUCUGUUCUCAGUUCGGAUCGCAGUCUGCAACUCGACUGCGUGAAGCUGGAAUCGCUAGUAAUCGCGGAUCAGCAUGCCGCGGUGAAUACGUUCCCGGGCCUUGUACACACCGCCCGUCACACCACGAGAGUUUGCAACACCCGAAGUCGGUGAGGUAACCUUUAUGGAGCCAGCCGCCGAAG